Molecule: long non-coding RNA, 600 nt
Organism: Cataglyphis hispanica
Lineage: Eukaryota; Metazoa; Arthropoda; Insecta; Hymenoptera; Formicidae
Exons: 3
Source: RefSeq, a predicted model, not a curated record
AUGAUUUACACGUUUCUAACCUGAUGUCAAAAGCGAAGAAAAGAACAAUAUAUCUAAAGCGUUUGGAAAAGCGGAGAGUUCUUUGUUUCGCGACUUUGCGAGACGAGCCCGCAGCUCAUUUACCGGAUCCGGGAACGGAAGUCUAAUAUUCUCUACCUGAUCCGUUACAUACCCGCGCAUGGUCACGGUUCAUGGUUCUAUUGGAUCUAUGUUAAACGACAAACGGUGCAAAAAGUACGUGCCAUAUAUGGAUGGAAAGAUUUAGAGGAUUAAGGCAACCUUGAACAUACUGACAAUGAGGACACAAAAAUGUGUGCGACAGUCAGAUACUUUCUUGGCGCGCAGAGUCCGAAUCUUACUGUACUAUCUGUCAGUUGACCAAGAGAGAACCGCACGCCUGUGCCGCAGCAGAAUGCCGAGUUGAGCCGCGCGGUCCAUAGGCGAGACAACCGGCGGAUAAUCAUCGCGAACACGACGGUGGACGCGCGGUCGUCGUAGUCGUCAUUGUCGUGGGGUUAAACGACGAAAUAGACGCAAAGCAGAGGAAAGGAAAAGAAAGAAGAGAAGAGAAGAGAAGAGAAGAGAAGAGGACGCGGACAA